RNAcentral lists this ribosomal RNA (459 nucleotides) under uncultured bacterium. RNAcentral's name for it is "partial 16S ribosomal RNA". It matches the Rfam family "Bacterial small subunit ribosomal RNA", at positions 338 to 795 of the family's 1533-position model. The record is from RNAcentral.
CCUACGGGGGGCUGCAGUGAGGAAUAUUGGUCAAUGGCCGAGAGGCUGAACCAGCCAAGUCGCGUGAGGGAAGAAUGUCCUAAGGAUUGUAAACCUCUUUUGUCGGGGAGCAAAAAGGCUCUGCGGAGUCGUAUUGAGAGUACCCGAAGAAAAAGCAUCGGCUAACUCCGUGCCAGCAGCCGCGGUAAUACGGAGGAUGCGAGCGUUAGCCGGAUUUAUUGGGUUUAAGGGGGGCGCAGGCGGCGUGUCACGCAAGCGGUAAAAUAGCGGGGCUCAACCCCGUCGAGCCGUUUGGACUGGCGAGCUUGAGUUCAGGCGAGGUAGGCGGAAUUCGGGGGGUAGCGGUGAAAUGCAUAGAUAUCACGAAGAACUCCGAUUGCGAAGGCAGCGUACCAGUCUGCGACUGACGCUCAGGCACGAAAGUGUGGGUAUCGAACAGGAUUAGAUACCCGAGUAGGC